GCGGCGAAGCGGGUGAGUGAACACGGUGGGUGAUCUGCCCUGCACUUCGGGAUAAGCCUGGGAAACUGGGUCUAAUACCGGAUAUGACCUCCUAUCGCAUGGUGGGUGGUGGAAAGAUUUAUCGGUGCAGGAGUGGGCCCGCGGCUAGUCAGCUUGUUGGUGGGGUAAUGGCCUACCAAGGGCGAGCGACGGGUAGCCGACCUGAGAGGGUGACCGGCCACACUGGGACUGAGACACGGCCCAGACUCCUACGGGAGGCAGGCAGUGGGGAAUAUUGCACAAUGGGCGAAAGCCUGAUGCAGCGACGCCGCGUGAGGGAUGACGGCCUUCGGGUUGUAAACCUCUUUCAGCAGGGACGAAGCGCAAGUGACGGUACCUGCAGAAGAAGCACCGGCUAACUACGUGCCAGCCGCCGCGGUAAUAC
This 424-nucleotide ribosomal RNA is filed under the name Rhodococcus sp. 1P-5. Its description in RNAcentral is "bacterial SSU rRNA". It matches the Rfam family "Bacterial small subunit ribosomal RNA", at positions 95 to 526 of the family's 1533-position model. The record is from RNAcentral. Lineage: Bacteria; Bacillati; Actinomycetota; Actinomycetes; Mycobacteriales; Nocardiaceae.